RNAcentral lists this long non-coding RNA (9138 nucleotides) under Capsicum annuum. RNAcentral's name for it is "long non-coding RNA (CANN_LNC018107)". The record is from RNAcentral. Lineage: Eukaryota; Viridiplantae; Streptophyta; Magnoliopsida; Solanales; Solanaceae.
AAAAUAAAGAUUCAUUAUAUAACCCGUACGUACUAUGACACAUCAACUUUCUUGAAGAUGAAUUUGAAUAUUUUGUUCACGCUAAUAUCUAGAGAUGAUGAAUCUAGACAUUUUAUUUUUCAAUAGUCUCUUCGCUUUUGAGAUACUUUUCUCUUUCUUUUUUUUCUAGUCACUUUUUUUAAUGCAAAGCAAAAAAGUAAGGUAAGAUUGCGUACAAUAUACCCCUAUGAUGGACCCUUCUCCGAACCCUGUGCAUAACGAGAGUUUUAAUACACUGAACUGUCCUUUCACUUUUUUUAAUGCAAAACAGAUAACAUCUAAAUUUUCAAUCUGCCACCCUCGUUACUAGAAAAAAAAGGAUAGACAAAAUCAGCCAAACUUUUAAAUCUGAUUGAAAUUUAUGACAAACACUAACUAAAUGGAUUAAUUCCACGCAUUUCUUUGUUGUCUAUACAAUACUAUAACCAUUAAUAAAACCACACACAUACGGUCAUAUGAACACCGUAUGCUAAUUCAGAAUAUAGAGUCAGUAAAUUUAGAACAAGUGUCAUCUUCUUAUAUGUAUAAAUCGUAAAUCUUCUUUGUAUGUGUAUACAUACAUAGCCUGAGUCUAAAACAAUGUGUUCAAUCCUAUAUUGUUCGUACUCUCAAAAAAAUGUUGUUGUGUGUCAGAUCUUUCAAAAGUAAUGUAUUUUUUGAAAAUUCGACACGAGUGAGACUACAUUUCUAAAGAGUCCCCGCAACAUAGGUUCAAUCAAACUCAAUCUGCUCUAAAUCAAUCGAACUUUUUGAGGUGAUGAGAAAUGUUUGGCUGCAGAUAUCAUAGUUGCCUCUGGUCCAGAUGAACCACUAGAAAUUGAAUCUUUCACAACUUUGCUAGCAUAAGGACAGUCAGAUACACUAAAGUUCCCACUAUCGUUACUAUUGAUAUAGAAGCACAAAGGAAAUGACUUUAAUGAAGAAGGAAAAUCACUAGUAUUUUUCUUCUUACUAUUACUCAUUUUGUUUGCUUCUAAACAAACAACAACUCUCUGAAAGUGUUUUUGAUUUGUUUCUGUUUUUGAUAAAAUUGCCUUUAUAUAACAUGUUUAUUCUUGGUGCCCAAGGUUAAAUUUUGUUGAGAACCAAAAAAGUCUUCCUAUCAACAAUAAAAUUUUAAAAAGUAUAUAGAUAUUUGAUGUAUGUGGCAAGUGGCAACCAUGACAAGGAAAUUUCCUAUAAAGUAAGUAAUCUUAGAUACUUCUUAUCUUUGACUAGUCAAUAAAAGAUCAUGUCAGCCAUACAAUUUUUUCACUAAAUAGCUCGUAACUAACAUGAUUUUUUGGAGGGGUCUGAUGCUCCAAUGCGAAGGUGUGAGACUCUGACUAGGGAUGGUUUUAGGCGGGCUAGAGGUAGACUGAAGAAAUAUUGGAGAGAGUUGAUUAGGCAUGAUAUGGAGCAAUUACAGCUUACUAAGAACAUGACUCUUGAUAGGAAGGUGCGGAGGACGCAGAUUAGGGUAGAGGCCGGUUAGGGGGUGGGAGCGCGGAGGUAGUAAUAGGAGAGUUAUCCUUUGGAUCUAGAGUUUCUGGUUCGUAAUGUUGUGGCUGUAGUUUAGGGCUAGUGGUGUUGGCUUUUUUGCAUCCCGUACUAGUUUAUUAUGCACUUAUCUUUUGUGUUUGUUAUACGGUUAGUUUGUUUUGUGUACCAUACUAGUUUAUAUGUGCCUACUUUUUGUAUUUGUUAUACUGUUAUUGGUCGUAAGCCAGGGGUCUAUCGGAAACAAACUCUCUGCUUCUCUUGAGGUAGUUGUAUGGUCUGCGUACACUCUACCCUCUCCAGACCCCACUAGGUGGGAAUACGCUAGGUAUGUUGUUGUUGCAUCGUUAAAUAUGAUUAAGAACGGAUUAUUUAGCUACGGAUUGAAAGUUGUUCGUUGUUAAUUUUUGUCAUUUAUAGAAAUCGAUUAUUCUUUAGCUUUAAAAAAAAAAAAAUUGGUCAUAUCCAAGCUGGUGUGCGAGCACUUGAGUCAGUACUGCAUCAAAAAACAUUUUUAUCGGCAAUUAGUUAACGAUAAUAGCCUAAUUGCAAUUACAUUAUCUUGUGCACCACGAAAGCUACUCCCAUCUUAUCUCGAAUGACCUCAUUCUUGAUUCCAUCACGCCUAGCUAGUAUGCUCACACAUUCAUCUCAAUAUCCUCAUUUCAGCGACAUGCAUCUUCUGCACAUGGAAGUUUUUGACUAGCCAACACUCCACCCUAUACAACAACAUCGGUCUAACCACCACUCUAUAAAACUUACCUUUAAGUUUUGGUGGUAUCUUCUUAUCACACAAGACUCUAGAGGCAAGCCCCCAUUUCAUCCACGCCGCACCAAUACGAUAAGUGACAUCAUCGUCGAUGUCCCCACCACCCUAGAGAAUAGAACCAAGAUACUUGAAAUUGCCCCUCUUAGGGAGAGCCUAUGUGUCCAGCGGCACUUCCACGUCUUCAUCAUAUAACGGUAUAACCCUUCACAAAAUUUGCACUUCAAAUACCCCGUUUUUGUCCUGCUCAACUUAAACCCUAUAGCUUCUAAAAUUUGUCUCCACACCUCGAACCUAUUUUUCACUUUGCUACGUGUCUCAUCGAUCAAUAAUAUGUCAUCUGCAAAUAACAUACACCAAGGCACUUCAUCUUGGAUGCACCACGCAUCAAUACAUCCAUCACCACGAAAAAGAGGAAUGGACUAAGAGCUGAUCCUUGGUGCAACCCAAUUUCCACAGGAAAAUGCUCCAAGUCUCCUUCUACCGUUCUAACCCACAUAUUAACUCCAUUAUACAUACUCUUUAUCGCCCUAAUGUAAGUCAUCGAUACACCUCUAGUUUCAGACACCUCUAAAACACCAAAAAGUUCGUAUUAUUUUUGUCAAUACAAAUUUGAACCUCUUUCAUGGACAACGUUCGUACCACUAAAAUCUUUUGACUUUUCUUUGUGCCUACAUGUCUGAUUAAAAAUAAGAGAAUGUAACUCAUAUCAAUACUCCACAUGUAGGCAUAAUAUUUGACUAAUCGACAGAAAAAAAAUGUGUGCUCUCAUUAACAAUAUAUUAAUUGUUACUCAAUAUUUCAUUAUCAAGAAUACACACAAAAAAAAAAAAAAAAAAAUAAACAGGGAAAAUUUUUUUUAUAAUCCUAAAGUUCGGAUUGUGUGAUAACCAAGAAAAGGAAAGACACAGAAAGCAACUCUUUAAUAUUUUCUUAUUUUAAACUAUUGAUUCUUUUAAUUGUUUGAAUCCUUGCUUUGAAUUUUCCGGGUUGUAUGUUGGACUAGUAUAAAUUUUACUGAAGGUUGACUGAAAUUGGAGCUCGAAUUUAAAGUUUAUGAUUUUGAAUUAUAAUCUUUUUAAGUUAUUGAAUUUUAACUUAACAAUCCGUUAUUAAAUAAAUUUUAAAGAUAAAUAUAAUAUUUGAAUAAAAAUUACUAAAUUUGCUGAAUCCAUAACCGACACUCUCCUCCUCCCUGAUUGGAUGAGGAAAAACUCCAUUGAUUGUUCCGAAAUAAUAAGAUCCUUACAUUGAUCUUUUUUUUUAAACAUGACAUGGUAGGAAAAGGGGUAUUAGGAAAUAAAAGUAGUGGUCAUAGGGCGAAAGUGAUGUUAGUAAAUGUGAUUGUUGGAUGAAGGUGAAAGGUGAUGGUAGGAAUUGGGGCGGUGAGGUGGCAUGUCAUAUGACAUUCAUAGAUGUCAGAUAAAUACGUGAACACAUGGGAUGUUGGCCAUGGUGGAGGGCCGUUAAAGAGGAGGGGUAUGUUUGCACUAGUUCUGUAGCAUCAAGAAAAAUUUAAUAAUUCUCAGUUACUGAUAAAUUAUAGUUUUAGUCUUUGUGAUAGAUAGCUCAACACGUUAAACGUUCGAUUAAUUAAAAUGAAUGUUAAAUGUUAAUAUCAAACUUGUAAAUAUUAGUUAUAAACAAAGGGAUCAUAAGAGCAAGUUUCAGAAAAUUAAAGAUUAAAUGCGCUUAAUCAUAUACAUAAUGACUAAAUUAGAAUUUCUGAAUAUAGCUAAGGGACCAAAAGUGUUAUAACCCUUUCUAACAACUACAAACUGUAGAAAUAUACUACAGUACUUUAUAAAAGUUUCCAUUGUUUUUUCAUGGCAAACUGCCUAGUGCUAAGGAAUACAAAGGAUUUCAUGCAAUUCUUUAUUGGCUAUACACUACUAUACAUACGUAUAAAAGCCAUAUACUAUAGGUGAAUUCAAAAUUUAAAAUCAGUGGAUUCAGAAAUAGGUUUGACAACUUUGUGAACCGCACGUUUUUGCUUAUGUAUACGUAGUUAGGCAUUGGAUGAAACCCCUUCGAUGGAAAUUAUAUUAUUUUUAUAUGAUUAAAAAUAUAUUUUAUGUAUAUAUAGUAGAUGUUAGAAUCUCUUUCGGCUAGUUCGUACGUUUAUUGCUGAACCCCUCAAUGAAAAUCCUUGUUCUGCCACUGGCUCAAAUUUAACUCUCCAAAAUGUCAUUGGUGAGUAUCAGAUCCUCCGAAGUAGUAUAUUUUUGAAGAAUCCAAAACGGAUUUGACAACAUUUUUGGAGAUUCCGCACAACAUAGGUUCAGUCAAACUCACAAAAUCUGCUCUAAAUCAACCGGACUUUGUGAGUUGAUGAGAAAUGUUUGGCUGCAGAUAUCAUAGUUGCUUCAACUCCAGAUGAAACACUAGAAAUUGAAUCUUUCACAACAUUGCUAGUAUCAUCAUCAUCAUCUUUAACAUAGAAGCACAAAAGAAAUGACUUUAAAGAUGAAGAUAAAUCACUAUUUUUCUUCUUAUUAUAACUCAUUUUGUUUGCUUCCAAACAAACAACAACUUAGGCAGAUGACAAGAUCUUGCUCGGACAGUAAGUACCACUCACUUCCAACCCUUGAGUUCGAUCACAAAAGAAUUUGACAAAGAAUUGGGGAUAAUGAAGAGCUCUCAAGGCGACAAAGGGGGUGAUUUUUCUUGUUGUGUUUUUGAAUUUGAUGAAACAUCCUUUAUAUAACAUGUAUAUUCUUGGUGCCCAAGGUCAAUUAUAUUGAGAAGCAACAAAGUUUCUUCCUAUAAGCAAUUAAAAUUUAGAAAAUUAUCUUAGAUAUUUGAUGUUAUGUGGCACUCAUGAAAAGGAUAUUUCCAAUAAAGUUAGUCUCAUUCCUUCUUAUCUUGGACUAGUCAAUUAAAAAGAACAGGUUAACUUUGUCUUUCAUUUUUAAUGAAGAAGCAUGAAAGAAAUGACCUUAAGGGAUAAGAAAAUUCCCUUUUUUUUCUCUUAGUACUAUUUGCUCAUACUUUUUCUUCCACAAAAAGAAAUUGUUGAGAAUGAAGAGUACAAAAUAUUGAUCAAAAAAGGAAAGGGUUUGAAUUUUCUUGAGUAUUUUACAUUUGAUGAACUGAAAUUCUUGGUGAUCAACAUGUGAUCGAGCUCCCGUUUAAUUGUGGUAGAACAUGCAUUUUACGUGAAAAGAAUUAAAGUUUUGUGGGUGAAAAUCCUACAAACUCAAAAAAUGAUCUGAGUUCGUUUUGAGAACUUGAAAAUAUUUGAAGAUCAUAUUUUCAAAAUCUAAUCAAAUUUCAUGAUCAAAUAAAUAUUUAUAAUAAAAAUCUAAUCUAAAAUAUAUGACCAAACACUAGCUAACUUGAGAAAUUAGAACAACAUUGCGUCUUCUCAUGGCAAUGUAAUUUGAAAAUUAAAGUACGUCAGAUAUAUUAAGUUGUGUGGGAGCCAAGAAAAAGAAAGGGCCCAAAAUGUAACUUUUGAUUAGUUUCUUAUUUUGAAAAACAAUGAUUUUUUCAUUCUUUAUCAUAACGUCAAAUCGUCGAUAAAUGUGUGUAGCACUAGGGGUGUGUUUGGUAUGAAGGAAAAUAUUUUCCAUGGAAAAUGUCUUCUCAGAAAAUGUUUUCUUGGAAAACAAGUAGAUUUUUUACUUGUUUUCCUGUGUUUAGUUGGUGGAUGGAAAAUAUUUUUCGGAAAAUAGUUUGUAAUGUUUGGUUGGUGAAUGAAAAAAUAUUUUUCAAAAAAUACAUUUUAAUCUUUAGCUAAAGCGUAAAAAUACAUUUUAGAAAAAUAAUUUUUGAUCUCAAAAAAUAUUUUUUGGGGUGGGUUCGAUAUGUAGGAGAAGAAAUAUUUUUUAAGAAAAUAAGUUGUUUCUCACUUAUAUUUAGGGGUGCAUUCGAUUUGUUCGGUUUGAUUGUUGAAUAUCGGUACAGUUUUUUGGUUUUCGGAUUGACGAAAAUGACAAUCAUAACCAAACCAAAAUUAUUUCGGUUUGGUUCGAUUUUUACAAAUUCGGUUCGGUUAUUUCAUAUUUUUAUUUCGAUUUUGAAGAUUAAAGUAGUGAGCAUUUAAAAUUGAUGAUUUUUUCUAGAAAAAUAAUCUUUUUUCAAACCUAUUUUCAUACUUAAAUAUAAUUAAUUUAACACGAAUGAAAUAACCAUAAAUAUCGACUCCGCUGAGUCAUCACCGUUGGCGUAACGACAAUGGCUGCACAUGACAGCGACUGUCGACGGCAGUGACAAGGUUGUCAAAAUAGGUAGUAAGGGUGGAUAAGAAAAUAAUUUUAAUUUUUUAAAAAAUAAUUUAUUUUGCGGGGGUGGGGGGUGAAGAGAGGUUGGGGGCUAGUACGGGGUAGGGGUAGGGGUAGGGGAGUAUGAGUCAGGUAAAAAAAAUUGAAAUAUGUUUUUUGAAUGUGGGUAGUAGGGGGGGGGGGACGACUUCGCUGAGUCAUCACCGUUGGCGUAACGACAAUGGCUGCACAUGACAGCGACUGUCGACGGCAGUGACGAGGUUGUCAAAAUAGGUAGUAAGGGUGGAUAAGAAAAUAAUUUUAAUUUUUUAAAAAAGAAUUUAUUUUGGGGGGGUGGGGGGUGGAGAGAGGUUGGGGGCUAGUACGGGGUAGGGGUAGGGGUAGGGGAGUAUGAGUCAGGUAAAAAAAAUUGAAAUAUGUUUUUUGAAUGUGGGUAGUAGGGGGUGGGGGUCGGGGUAGAGGAGUGAGGGUGGGGUAAGAAAAAAAUUAAAUUUUUUUUAAAAAAGAUUUAAAAAAUUUAAUUUGUUUGAAGGGGGGGAGGGGAGGAGGUUGGUAGAGAAGGUAAGAAAAAUGUUUGAUUUUUUUAAAAAAAAUUAUUUUUUUUGUUUUUGGAAAGGGGAAGGAAGUAGGGUUUUGAGUAGGGGUGAGGUAAAAAGAAUUAAAAUAUAUUUUUUAAUAGGGAUGGUAAAGGGUGGGGGUGGGGUGGGAGAUUGAGGGUCGGAGUAGAGAUGAGUGAUUUUGAGAGUUGUAUGAAUAUUUCAAUUUAAGAGUGAGGUUGAAAGAGAGUUUUGGAAAAUGUUUUCCUUACUUUUUGAAGGGAAGUCAUUUUCCUUAGUUUUAAGGAAAAUAAGUUGAUUUGGAAAAUAUUUUCCAAAACCUGUAAGCCAACCAAACAGCAGAAAACUGAAAAACAUUUUCCAGAAAAUGUUUUCCUUCAUACCAAACACAGCCUAGAAAUCUCUUUGGACUUCUCUCUAUAUCAGAAUAGGAGAAUGUAACUUCAAAAAUGUUUACACUGAUUAACAAAUGUAAUUGAUAUAAUAUGUCAGUAUAUAUCAAGAUUACACAAAUUGUUGUUCUCCUCUAACCUUACCAUAGAAAAUUCUAGCUAUUGGCCAAUUAAGAUACACAACAACAACAACAACAACAAACCCAGUGUAUUCCCACUUAGUGGGGUCUGGGGGGUAAGAUGUACGCAGUCCAUACCUCUACCUCUGAUGAAGUAGAAAGGCUGUUUCCGAAAGACCCCCGGCUCAAGUCACGAGAUAUCAAUUAAAUGAUGUCAUUUAAAUUUUAUGUUGUUCGAUUUUUGUUACUAUCUAUUGUUUUGGGUAGUUCGAUUGUAGCAUUAUUUUGUCACUGUACUGUCUGCUACUAUCUGUUGUUUUUGUUACUAUUUAUUGUCUCUUGUACUUCCAUUACUUCUUUUUUUAGACUGUUUUUAUCUUGAGUCGGGAGUCUAUUAGAAUCAACCUUUCUUUCUCACCUCUGAGGGAGCUAAGGUGUGCGUACAUUCUAUCCUCCCUAGCAGAGGCAGAGCCAGAAUUUUCACUAAGAGGUUCAAAAGUUGAAGAAAAACAAUCGAAGGGGUUUCAAACUUAUUAUAUAUACAUAAAAAAAGUUUAGUCAAGUAUAAAUAAUAUAAUUUUUCAUCAAAGGGGAUUCGAAUGAACCCUCAUGCCAAACACUGACUCCGCCCCUGCUCCCUAGACCCUACCUUGUGGAAUACACCAGAUAUGUUGUUGUUGAUGGUGUCAUUUUUGCGAAGGCGGCUGGAGAAUAUAGUUGUGCAAAUGUUAAAGACCACUCUUUCAUUUUUUGUUGUUUAAGUUUGGAUUUAAUUUGUCAAAGUGCCUGAAAAGUAAAAACUACAAGCUGUAUUAUGAAAUUACAUUAUUUCUUCCAAAAACAUACACGUGGGAGAAAGUUUUCCAUACAAAGGAUUAAUUCCAUGCAUUUCUUUGUUGUCUAUACAAUACCAUAACCAUUCACUAAACCACACAUAUCGUCAGUAAAAUCAGAAUAAGUGUGAUCUUCUUAUAUGUAUAUAUACAUUACAUCUUCUUUGUAUGUGUAUACAUACAUAGCUCGAGUCGAAAACAAUAUGUUCAGUUCAAUAUUGCCGGGACUCUCCAGAAAUGUCAUUGAGUGUGUAUCAGAUUUUUUAAAAAAAAGUAUAUUUUUGGAGAAUCUGACAUGGGCGAGAAAAUAUUUCUGGAGAGUCUGCAGCAUAGGUUCAGUGAACUCACAAAAUCUGCUCUAAAUCAACCGGACUUUGUGAGGUGAUGAGAAAUGUUUGGCUGCAGAUAUCAUAGUUGCUUCAACUCCAGAUGAACCAUUAGAAAUUGAAUCUUUUACACCUUUUCUAGUAUCAUCAUCUUUAAUAUAGAAGCACAGAAGAAAUGACUUUAAGGAAGAAGAUAAAUCACUAGUAUUUUUCUUCUUACUAUAACUCAUUUUAUUUACUUUGAUCAACAGACAAGAACUUAGAUUAUAUUGUGAAGAAUGAAGACCUCUCAAGUCAAUAAAGUGGUAUUUUUGUUGAAGUGUUUUUGGAUUUGAUGAACAUUUCCCCUUUAUAUAAUAUGUUUAUUCUUGGUGCCCAAGGUUAAUUAAUUUUAUGUUGAG